RNAcentral lists this long non-coding RNA (1520 nucleotides) under Ursus maritimus (polar bear). Its description in RNAcentral is "lncRNA (ENSUMAG00000020799.1)". Lineage: Eukaryota; Metazoa; Chordata; Mammalia; Carnivora; Ursidae. The record is from RNAcentral.
CUAGAAAGAGAACAUUCUAACUAUAAUGAGUUCCUUCUGGGAGAGUUUUAUUCAUCGCGCUGUACUCAAGUCAAAAACAACUGUCCAAAAGGUUUCGAUGGUCCAAACACACUCCUGCUCAUUCGGCACAGAAUAUCAAGACCUGAUUCCCACGCAGUAAGACGAGGAAUAGACAUCACCAGGAAUCCUGGGUUUGCAGCUAGAUGGUGAUCAACUGACAACACAUGGAUGAUUUCCUUUGAGGAGAAGAUGAGUUUAUUUCCAUUUCUACAAGGGAGAGUUGCAUUGAGUUGCAUGCCGGGUGGGCACCUUUCCAUUUGGAGGUGUUUCAAAGAGAAAGAAUACCUCGUAGAUUUCAUCUGUUGCCCAUGUAACCCUACUCCUCAGAGAGUGCGGCUAUUCGACCUGCCAGGAUUCCAUUUAAAGACUGUUUUCUCAUGAAGUACAGGAACUCUCCAUUUAUGUAUGGCUGGGGAAGUUCAAACGCCGACGUAAUCACUGCUGCAUUACGCCCAUGUGACUGGAGACUCUCCCAUGAUGAAGGUCAACGUUGAAAAAGAAUGCAUCGCGGUAGUAAGGCGAUCAUUUGCAGUGACAGAUACUUAAGAUUCGAUCAAAUACUUUCUCCCUAAAAUUUCGAAAUAACGAUUUUUUUUUAUUACCGUGCAAAUUAAUCUAUGAAGGAAAGGAGGAAACCUUAUUAGUGGCCAGGGGAAAAAAGAAAUAAUUAAAAUACAAGCGCUGGAUUUACAUCUAAGACAUUCCCUUUCAUCUCACCAUUAAUCUCCAAAUGUUCUUUUUUUUUUUUUUUAAGAGAGGAGGAGAGAGGUGGGGGUCUAGAGACAGAGGGAGAGGGAGAGAGAGAAUCUUAAGCAUGCCCCGUGCCCAGCGUGGAGCCCAACACAGGGCUGAUCUCACGACCCUGAGAUCAUGACCUGAGCCAAAAUCAAGAGUUGGAUGCUUAACCGACUGAGCCACCCAGGCGUCCCAAUUUCCAAGUGUUCUAAAGUAAUAUUACUGUAAUCUUAAAUUUAUUUCUUAACCACAAUCUGACAGUUGCAGCUAUAUGAAAUUAGAUAAUUCAUUCACAAUAAGUGCCAUGUGAGGAGGGGUCCCCUUUUCUAAUGCCACUCAGGGGCUUUGAAAAGCGUAUUUCAUCAGGGCUCCUAUGAGCAUCACAUGUGUUAGUUAUCUUCUGAUUCUAGAGGGGAGACGUCUUUGUGUAGAAGUCAUCCUCCCCUGAAUAGACCUUACAUGAACCUCAUGGGCAAAGCAUCGCGCUGCGGUGACGGGGACGCAGGGCUGACCUUCAUCUGGACCAAAGCUUCAGGAGUUCCAACUUCUCAGAUGGGUCUUGUUUUGAAAAAAGCCAACAGCAGUGCUGCAUGGAAAUGAUCUGUGUGAUAAUUCUUCUUUCUUCAUCAUGUAGAAAACCUCAGAAGUCACCAGAGUUUUUGGUAGAAACAUAAAAUCCUUUAUGUGGGGCAUAAUAAAAAACUCACCUUUAUUAAUAAGAUACA